Molecule: ribosomal RNA, 254 nt
Filed under: uncultured bacterium
Lineage: Bacteria
Description: partial 16S ribosomal RNA
Rfam family: Bacterial small subunit ribosomal RNA
Source: RNAcentral
UACGUAGGGUGCAAGCGUCGUCCGGAAUUAUUGGGCGUAAAGAGCUCGUAGGCGGUCUGUCACGUCGGGAGUGAAAACUCGGGGCUUAACCCCGGGCCUGCAGUGGGUACGGGCAGACUAGAGUGCGGUAGGGGAGACUGGAAUUCCUGGUGUAGCGGUGAAAUGCGCAGAGUAUCAGGAGGAACACCGGUGGCGAAGGCGGGUCUCUGGGCCGUAACUGACGCUGAGGAGCGAAAGCAUGGGGAGCGAACAGG